UCGAUAUCGCCAGUGGAGUCGCCAUCUGUCGUAACGUGCGAGUCCAGGAACCCGACCACUAGACGUUGACGAAAAUAAAUGUCACGACCCAAAUUCCGGGUCAUGACCGGCGCAUGGGUCCAAUGGACGUAAUCCACUAAACCCAGGCAAGCCUAUUAUUUAUCUUACUUAUGAUUCUAUUUAUUAUCACUAAGUCCUAUUUCAUGACUUUGAGUCAAAAUAGUGAUAUACAUUGCCAACUCGUACUGGCAUUACUCUUUUAAAAUUUACAUUAAGUUCAUCUAUACAUAACAAAAUAAU
This 300-nucleotide long non-coding RNA is filed under the name Theobroma cacao (cacao). Its description in RNAcentral is "long non-coding RNA (TCAC_LNC004494)". The record is from RNAcentral. Lineage: Eukaryota; Viridiplantae; Streptophyta; Magnoliopsida; Malvales; Malvaceae.